RNAcentral lists this ribosomal RNA (465 nucleotides) under uncultured bacterium. Its description in RNAcentral is "partial 16S ribosomal RNA". It matches the Rfam family "Bacterial small subunit ribosomal RNA", at positions 28 to 507 of the family's 1533-position model. The record is from RNAcentral.
GACGAACGCUGGCGGCGUGCUUAACACAUGCAAGUCGAACGGAAAGGCCCCCUUGUGGGGUACUCGAGUGGCGAACGGGUGAGUAACACGUGAGUAACCUACCCUUGACUUUGGGAUAACUUCAGGAAACUGGGGCUAAUACCGGAUAGGAGCUCCUGCUGCAUGGUGGGGGUUGGAAAGUUUCGGCGGUUGGGGAUGGACUCGCGGCUUAUCAGCUUGUUGGUGGGGUAGUGGCUCACCAAGGCUUUGACGGGUGGCCGGCCUGAGAGGGUGACCGGCCACAUUGGGACUGAGAUACGGCCCAGACUCCUACGGGAGGCAGCAGUGGGGAAUAUUGCACAAUGGGCGGAAGCCUGAUGCAGCAACGCCGCGUGCGGGAUGACGGCCUUCGGGUUGUAAACCGCUUUCGCCUGUGACGAAGCGUGAGUGACGGUAAUGGGUAAAGAAGCACCGGCUAACUACGUG